AGUGGUUGAUGUGGACAGUCCCAAAAAAGAGCUUUGAACCGCUCCCAAGCAUGAUAUAAGUUCUCAUCUGACUUCGGUUUGAAAGACACAAUCUCAUUGCGCAGUCU
Molecule: non-coding RNA, 107 nt
Organism: Capsicum annuum
Lineage: Eukaryota; Viridiplantae; Streptophyta; Magnoliopsida; Solanales; Solanaceae
Source: Rfam